CUUCAAAGUGAGAGGCCAUCAUUCCCCCUAAUUAUUGUUGAUUGCAUUCAUUAUGUCAUGUCUCGAUAUCUUGGAGGCGCUGUUGGUGGUUUGGGCUAAAUGGCAGCUAUGGGUUAGCUUGUUUCUCAAAGCUAAUUGGACGUCAGGCAAACAGAGACAGAAGAAAGUGCCUCUCAUCAGCAGACUGCCCACUGUCCAAUGUAUUUUUUAUGAGCUGGCAGACCACUUACAGAGCAGACUGAAGCCCAGGGUUGUGAUGCUUGUGAGAUGUCAAGCACCUCUUCCCAGAAAUCCCUCAAGCUCUGUUUUAAUGAAAUUAACAAGCUUAUUAAAAAAAUCUGCUGCACUGACAUCUGACACAGCACCUCACUGCGUUUCUUAAAUCAAGUUCGGAAGGAAUAGGAGGAAGUUCGUGGCGAGCUUAAUAGAAAUAAAAAGAGAAACAAUGUAACGCUUUUUAUACUCCGGACGAACAUCUCAAUCCAUUACCCUUGAACUUAAAAAGAAAAUAAAAAAAUAAAAACAGCCAGUAAACAUGUAUGAAGCCACCAAAGGGAAAUACUCUGACUGCAGGUUACAUUUCUCCUGAAAAGAGAACGAGAAAAGAUUAGAAAAGCACUCUGGGAGCAAUUCUAAAUCUCACAGAUCAGCAGUGAAGGGACAGCCAAGCUGGCAACAGAGAUACGGAGGCACAAUGGUGAAUCACUCCCACGCGUCCCCCAACAAUACAAGGCAGGGCGGGUGACUCAGAAAUACUGAUUCACCUAUAUGCCUACUUGUACAUACAGUAUGUGCACCCACACUCAUGCACACACACUGACAGACAAACACCCACCAUCCUUAUAGUGUUAUUACCAUAUGCAUUGCUUUCUUAUGCCAGAGUUUCUAGCCUCCAGAUAUGGGAAAAAAUCAAAAGAGGAGGCCGUCCUUCUUCUCAGGUCGGCAAAUACUUACUUUUGUGCUGAUGCCUUAAUGCACCCACAUUAAUGAUGCUGUACAAGUCUCUGUCACUGUGUAGCCAUAAGCAUAAUUUUGCUAUGUGCAAGGUUAAUAUUACUAAUAUUUUUAAUCCAAAACAAGAUGGACUCUUCAACCUAACCAUGUAAUUUUGGCACCUAAAUUGAAAAAAAAAAAAGCACAAACUAACUGCUACACAUGAGUCCCAAUCAAGAACAAUGCCAUUGCUUUCUGACUAAUGGUCUUUGGAUCCAAAUUUCAUAUGCAGUCGAUGCUGGUUUUUCAAAUUAGACUUUAGGAGUUCCAACUUUGACGUAAAGAGCAUCCAGGCUCCCAA
Astatotilapia calliptera (eastern happy) is the source of this 1294-nucleotide long non-coding RNA. Lineage: Eukaryota; Metazoa; Chordata; Actinopteri; Cichliformes; Cichlidae. The record is from Ensembl.